UACGUAGGUGUCAAGCGUUGUCCGGAUUUAUUGGGCGUAAAGCGCCCGCAGGCGGCUUGCCAAGUUCGAUGUGAAAUCUCCCGGCUUAACUGGGAGGGUGCAUCGAAAACUGGCAGGCUUGAGGCAGGGAGAGGGAUGUGGAAUUCCAGGUGUAGUGGUGAAAUGCGUAGAUAUUGGGAGGAACACCAGUGGCGAAGGCGGCUCACUGGACUGGUACUGACGCUGAUGCGCGAAAGCGUGGGGAG
RNAcentral lists this ribosomal RNA (245 nucleotides) under uncultured prokaryote. RNAcentral describes it as "partial 16S ribosomal RNA". It matches the Rfam family "Bacterial small subunit ribosomal RNA", at positions 524 to 768 of the family's 1533-position model. The record is from RNAcentral.